CCAAUAGCGUAUAUUAAAGUUGUUGCAGUUAAAAAGCUCGUAGUUGAAUUUCGGGAUCAAUAUAUCGGUCGUGCCUCGGUACGUACUGGUAUCAUUGGUUUCUCCUUUCUGACGAACCAUGAUGUCAUUAAUUUGGUGUCAUGGGGAAUCAGGACUGUUACUUUGAAAAAAUUAGAGUGUUUAAAGCAGGCUCGCGCUUGAAUACAUUAGCAUGGAAUAAUGAAAUAGGACAUUUGAUUCUAUUUUGUUGGUUUCUAGGAUCGAUGUAAUGAUUAAUAGGGAUAGUUGGGGGCAUUAGUAUUCAAUUGUCAGAGGUGAAAUUCUUGGAUUUAUUGAAGACUAACUACUGCGAAAGCAUUUGCCAAGGAUGUUUUCAUUAAUCAAGAACGAAAGUUAGGGGAUCGAAGACGAUCAGAUACCGUCGUAGUCUUAACCAUAAACUAUGCCGACUAGGGAUCGGAUGAUGUUAAUUUUUUAAUGACUCAUUCGGCGCCUUACG
Molecule: unclassified non-coding RNA, 499 nt
Filed under: uncultured Glomus
Lineage: Eukaryota; Fungi; Glomeromycota; Glomeromycetes; Glomerales; Glomeraceae
Description: SSU rRNA
Rfam family: Eukaryotic small subunit ribosomal RNA
Source: RNAcentral